RNAcentral lists this ribosomal RNA (283 nucleotides) under uncultured bacterium. RNAcentral describes it as "partial 16S ribosomal RNA". It matches the Rfam family "Bacterial small subunit ribosomal RNA", at positions 207 to 507 of the family's 1533-position model. The record is from RNAcentral.
GUAUUUAUCGCUAGAAGAUGAGCUCGCGUCUGUAAUUAGAUAGUUGGUGAGGUACGGCCCACCAAGUCGACGAUCAGUAGCCGGACUGAGAGGUUGGACGGCCACAUUGGGACUGAGACACGGCCCAGACUCCUACGGGAGGCAGCAGUGGGGAAUAUUGCACAAUGGAGGAAACUCUGAUGCAGCGAUGCCGCGUGAGGGAAGAAGGUUUUAGGAUUGUAAACCUCUGUCUUUGGGGACGAUAAUGACGGUACCCAAGGAGGAAGCUCCGGCUAACUACGUG